Molecule: long non-coding RNA, 5387 nt
Filed under: Daucus carota (carrot)
Lineage: Eukaryota; Viridiplantae; Streptophyta; Magnoliopsida; Apiales; Apiaceae
Description: long non-coding RNA (DCAR_LNC000931)
Source: RNAcentral
UUGUUAUGGGAAGGCUCGCUGAUUUAUUGAUUGAAAAACCUCAAAUCCUUAAUGAAGUGAGCGAUGAAAUUCAACUAGCUGUGACCGAGCUCAUGCGGAUAAAGACAUUCUUACCUGAUGCUGACUCAAGGAUUGAUGUAGAAAGAAUCUGCAUUUUGGUCCGGGAGGUACGAGAGCUUGCCUAUGAUGCUGAGCAUGCUGUCGAAAGUUUUGUCAUUAAAGCCUCAUCCACUAAAAAACCAUUUCAGUGGAUGAACAGAGUCAAGUUUUCAGGAAAGAUGAAAGAUAUACAAAAAAAGAUGUCCCUCCUCUUCAAUCUAUUUUCUGAUUAUAAUAUCAGACCAAUUUCAGAAUCAUCAACUUCCUCCAACAGAGGACCGGGAAAGCUAAAGCGAUUUUACUCUUUCACUACUCCUGAACCAGAGAUAUUUGUUGGAUUUCACGAGGACGUUGAAUGCUUGGUGCGACAUUUGGUGAAUGAAGCUGAUGAUUCUUACCCACUGAUAUCUAUUUGUGGAAUGGGGGGUCUGGGAAAGACCACUCUAGCUCAAAAGAUAUACAAUCACUCUGCCAUCAAGACUAGAUUUGCUGGUUUAGCAUGGGUAUCAAUCUCCCGAAAGUGGCAAACAGAUCGUGUGUUGCAGAGAAUUCUCAUAUGUCUCGUCCCUGAGAACAAAGAUUCUAUCCUUAAUAUGGACACUGACAAGCUAGUGGAGUAUAUGCUACAAAUCCAGGAAAGGAAGAAAUGUUUGAUAGUUCUCGAUGAUAUAUGGUCAACUGAUGCUUGGGAUGCAUUAAAAGGUGCGNAGAAAUGUUUGAUAGUUCUCGAUGAUAUAUGGUCAACUGAUGCUUGGGAUGCAUUAAAAGGUGCGUUUCCAGCCGGGAAGUCCAUAAGCAAAUUAAUGCUUACAAGCCGUAAUGCUGAGGUUGCUGAGCAUGUAAAUUUAAACGGACUCAUUCACCAGCCAGAAUGUCUAAGUCCAGAACAAAGUUGGGAGCUACUCAAGUUGAAAGCACUUCACACAGGAAACUGCCUAGGUACAUAAGUUUAUUGCGUUAAUUAGAGUUCAUGUAUUUUUUUAACCAUAUGUUUUGAUCGGCAACCUUAACGAACAACAUUUUUUGUUACUUAGUGUGAUAAGUUUGGUUAGAAAUUUGUCAGUAACCUUAAAGAACAUUGUUAUGUUCAAUAACAUUUUGUUCGUGUUCGCACGUUUGAAUUCAGCUCAUUUACAAACCUAUGUAUUAGAAUUGUAAACGAAUCUUACAGUUCAUUAACUGCGGUCUUGAGGUUGAGUUAAUGAGGUCGAGUUCGAACCAUAUAUAUUUUGUUUAAUAACCUUAACGAACUGUAUGGGGUUCAAUAAUUUUUAUUUUCUACUAAAUUUCGGUUCAGUAAAUUUUUCUUGUGUUGACUCGAAGUUUAUCCGAGUUAAGUUCGUUUAGGGCUCUAACUUGAACUUGUCUUUUUAACAUAGUAGUUUAUUUAUAUAUAAUUAAAAUAUAUAAAUGUUGACAUCCAUACGGUUGGAUCGAUGAAAAAUAUUUUUAAAAUUAAAUGAGGACUAAAUACUAGUUAGUGGUACUAAUCAAACUAAUGCUUGACUAAUAAAAUAAAAAACCAAAUAAAAUUAUUUUUUCGUAACUUUGGUUACACCAUAUUUAGUUAAUAUUCUCUUUAUCGAUUUGAUAUAUUAUAUGUAGAAUUUUUGGUUCAACAACAUGUAUAUAUUAUAAAAAAUCUGAAAAUAUUACAUUGUUUGGAGUUAUAACGAGCCGAACUCGAGCCGAACGAGUUCGGACUCGGUUGGCUCGAGUUCUUAACGAAUCGAGCCAAACCGAGCUUUUAUCGAGCCGAGCUCGAGCUUGUUCGUGAACAGCCCUAUGUAUGUACACUUAUGAUUCCAGUUUCUUGUGUAUUGCAGACAUUACCAGAGAUGUAAAUAGGAUGGAAGAACUGGGAAGGGAAAUGGUUGAAUACUGUGCCGGUCUUCCGCUAGCUAUAGUCAUUUUGGGUGGAAUUCUUGUAACAAAACCGUCGCUGAUAGAGUGGGAGAAGGUAUAUCGUGAUAGUAAAUCAUCCCUGAAGGCGGGGAAAGGAUUGGGAGAAGCCUAUCAAAGGGAAAUAUUAAGCUUUUUGGUUUGGAGCUACAAUGAUUUACCCCCUCAACUGAAGCCAUGCUUUCUAUAUUUAUCUAAGUUUGGUGAAGAUAAAUGUAUAAAAGUAAGAACUUUGUAUCAGCUAUGGAUCGCUGAAGGCAUGGUACUCUCAAGUGACAAAAGAAAGGGAGAAACAAUGACACAAGUGGCCGAAUCAUACAUGGGAGAAUUGGUCCAAAGGAGUAUGGUUCAAGUGACAUUUAACAAUGUGGAAUCAUCACUUACAAAGUUUAAAGAUUGUUCUCUGCACGAUCUUAUGAGAGACAUGUCUUUAAUACAAGCAAAAGCAGAAGAUUUUUUUGAAGUAAUACAUUUCCAAAGUGGAAAUGAGUUUCAUCUCAAAUCUGCAGAUUCAAGGUCAGCUUACACUCGACUUGUGAUUCAUUUGGAUGAGGAAUAUUCUAGCAAAAAAGCUAAUUACUACUUUUCUAAGAAAGGCAAUCAAAAAAUCUAUCGAUCAAUGUUAUUCAUUGGAGACUUUGGUCGAAGAAGUUUGCCACGGGCAUUGGGGUCACAUGUUGGCAAUUUUAGGUUCCUGAAAGUGUUCUCUGUGGAGAAUUAUACCAAAUUUUCUGGUGCAUCUUCUCAUAUUAAUUUUGGAAGAGCAUUAGGGGGCCUUGUUUACUUGCGAUAUCUUAGUGUAAGGGGCAGUAAUUUGUUGGUUUUUCCAUCUCUACAAAAGUUAGUGCUAUUACAAACUCUCAAAUUUGAUAUGUUGAACAAGAUAUAUGUUUUACCAUGGUUGUCAAGAGAUGUUUUGCUCAAGCUGGAUUGUUUGCGGCAUCUGUAUUUGCCUAAAUUUCAAGUUGACGUUAUGGGAAGGAAAUCAAAAUUUCGGUUUAAUGGGUUGAGCAAGUUAGAGACACUUGAGAACUUUCACACUAGUUGGUGUGAGGUUAAGGAUCUACGUGAACUGAUCCAUCUUCGGAAACUAAUGCUAACAGUGAGAGGUAGCUUUGAUAUUCUGGAGGAAAUGAUGAAAAACUUGGUUUAUAUAGCCUCCUCACCAUCUUCAUGUCUGAGGUAUUUGGGUGUUUGUAUUGUUGAUUGUGAUAUCGAGCUGAACAAUGGUCUUACUAUCUUGAAACAGUUGGUAUAUGCUGAAAAUUUGAACCUUCGGGAAUUGAUAAUAUAUGGGAGUAUCCCGGAGGUGGGUCUAAUAUUUCCGCUGCGAUAUGUUGGGGAUAAUAAUGCUCAUGUAUCUACAGUUCAUAUUAUAAGUUUAAAUUUAUGGGAAUCAUAUCUGGAAGAAGACCCAAUGCCAAUACUGGAAAUGCUUCCAAUGUUGGGUGCUCUCCGUAUAUUUACGCAUGCAUAUGUGGGGAAGGAGAUGGUAUGCUCCGCAACCGGUUUUCCUAAACUCGUCACUCUUAUUUUGGACAGCUUCCCGAACCUUGAGAAAUGGAGGGUGGAGAAAGGAAGCAUGCCCAUCCUUUCAUGGUUGCGUAUUGAAAGAUGCAACAAGUUGGAAGAGCUCCCAGAAGGCCUAGUGUUCCUCGAGUCCCUUGAAGUACUAAAAAUAUUCCGAAUGUCUCAAGAUUUCAAUGUUAGGCUUAUAAGAGAUGAUGGUGAACAAGGACCCGACUUUCACAAGAUCUCUCACGUCCCUACAAUCAUUAUCGACGAUCAGGAAUACAAUUGAAUGUUUUUGUAGUUUGUAACUUUUUUGUUUUUGUCCUCAAGAACAGAUUUUCUUGAUAUUUGUCACAUAAAAUAUAUAAGAUAUGAGAUCAUUUUGUGUUCCUCUCUAUCUAACAAAACAGCUCAUAGAGCUUGAGUGACUCUUAUAUGGCUAUACCACAAGAAGCCUAUCACAAGAACUCUGCAUCCCAUUCUUAAUGAGUUGUUUGAUAUUUAACACUUAGAAAAAAUUUCAGUUGAACUGCAUGGAGCCAGCUGAUUAAUACAACUAUUAAUUCAUUAUUUAAUUCCUAAAUAAAUAACAAUCAUCUAUCUGUCUACUUAUAUAUUUAAAUGAUAAUCAGGACGACAAAAAGAGUCAGAAAUUAGUUCCGGCUAGCUCCAGUAAACUUGGCUCAACUUAUCUAUUGUGCUAGGAAUGCAAACUCAGAUCUAUAACUAAUACUAACUAAAAUUACUGCAAGUAUAAGCUUUGCUUUGGCAAAGGGGAAUAAUAAUAGUGAACAAUUAUAGAGAAUCUGAUGAUGUGCAGAAGAAACAUGUAUAAGCUGCUCGAUCUCUUAUUCUACUGAUAUUUUAAUACGCAAGUAGAGUUAUUAAUUGAUAAUGUUUUGCUUAUGCCGAGUCAUUUCAUGAUUGUUUAGUAAUUAGUUGUACAACUAUGAGCUGGUCGGUUGUCUGCAUUAUAAGCUUUCAUGGAGGCAGGUUGAUCCGGGAGACUUGUGCGAUGAGAACAGAGGGAACUAUCUUAUUACACUUUCAUUGAUCGUAUCAGGAAAGAGUUCAAGUAUACCAGAAGUAUAUUCUACGUCUAAGCAAAAAUCUUUCAACACAAGUUUAUUCAAUUAACAACAGUCAUAAGCUGUAAGAUCAAUGAUAGACCGCAAGCAAAUGCUUUUUAACAAAAACGUUACCAACAUCGCAUUGCAACAAUAAAUAACAAUGAUAGAAGCGACCGAAAGCAAAUACAAUCCAACAAAAUAACAUCAGCUUCGCAUUGCAAGGUUAUGCAAUUUGAACUUAAGAUCUCUCCAUUAAAUAACAAGCUCUGUACCUUUUGAAAUCAUUUAAUAAUAUCACAUAGAAAAUCUGUAACUUCCCUAUUCUUUGACCGACCUCACCAUGUGUCACAGAACCCAUAGCAACAUCAUAAACAAAUGCUGCUGUACAGUAACAUGGAAUUUAACUAUGACCAGAGAAGCAACAGAGAAUCCAAUGUGCUGAAGACACAUUUAAGCCUAUUCAAAUUUAUAUAAACUUGUUUGGUUUCUGCAGAAGAAUAAGUUAAACAAAUUAAUAAGACCGAAGCAAUUGUGUCGAUUGUUGUGGGAAGGCUCACUGAUUUGUUGAUUGAAAAAGCUCAAAUCCUUCAUGUAGUGAGAGAUGAAAGUCAACUAGCCGUGACUGAGCUUAUGCGGAUAAAGACAUUCUUACCAGAUGCUGACUCAAGGAUUGAUGUAGAAACAAUCCGCAUUUUGGUCCGGGAGGUACGAGAGCUUGCCUAUGAUGCUGAACAUGCUGUCGAAAGUUUUGUUAUUAAAGCCUCAUCCACUAAAAAACCAUUUCAGUGGAUGAACAGAGUCAAG